This is a long non-coding RNA of Mercenaria mercenaria, 3237 nucleotides long. RefSeq lists it as uncharacterized. The transcript has 3 exons. NCBI's taxonomy places the organism in Eukaryota, Metazoa, Mollusca, Bivalvia, Venerida, Veneridae. The record is from RefSeq and is a predicted model, not a curated record.
GCGGUCAUACAUUCUAUCGACCGCUGUAAAUACAGUAAAACAAGUUCAGUCAGGCGCUAGUCUUCUUUUUUGAUAGAUGGACAUUUCAUACAGAUCAAUAUUUUUUUUAUUAAACUGGACAGUGCGUUAUAGAUUAAAUUAGGAGUAAAUAUAUCAUUCAUUUAUAUAAAUCUAAGUGGCGUAAAGAUGGAAUGUUUACCUUCAUUUUCCCGGAAUAUAUCCGUAAGACUAUCAGAGGUGAUGGACGCACUUGGACUCGAUAUGGAGACAGUAUUGAAGAAAAGACGGAUAUACCUCAUGACAGAGAAAAUGUGGACAGAUUUGAGUACAGGGCAUAGUGUAACAGUCCAUCAUUUUGGCAGUCAAACGGAAGGUACAACCGUGACGACAUUGGGGCUGAACUCUGACCUUGAUUCUCUAACCUGUUUCGAUGCUAUAAAUGUCGUUAGGUCGAUCAGAGAGUGGAGUAGAGGUAGCCUUAAUCUGAUUAAUGAGAUUGACGAAAACUCAGCACCAGGGUACUGCAGAUUGCGUUGCCUUAAGAAUGACGAAGCAGAUUUUGAAUCCGCACAGUUUCUGAUGAAAGUCAUAUCUAUGACGGCGCCAGCGUGUAUCUUAAAAACACGUAUAUACUUAAAAUCACUGAACGAAUAUGUAUUCAAAACCAAUACCCUUUCAUCAAAAAGGGACCAUCAGGAAGUGGAACGGAUAAAAUAGAUUUUGUCACGGCGUUCAGAUACAGAGGUAAGAGAGAUAGUGUUCUUCAGUCCGAACAUACUAGUAUGCGUUUCUGGCCAUCCAGAGAACUACGAGAAGAGGCAUUUUCUAGUGACAGUUUUAUUGUGCCAGUCGGACAUCCUAAAUCUGAUUGCGAGAGUGCUGAAUGGAGAAUAUCAUCCUCAUUGACCGAAAGAAUACUCAUGUUCAGCCUAAAUGAAACACAACUGAAAUCGUAUGUCUUAAUUAAAAUGCUGAAAGAAACACUUUUCAAGCCACGUGUCGGUGAAGCAAUAACAAGCUACCACUGCAAAAAUUCUUUAUUUUUCGCGAUUGCAAACACAGACAAUGACUUUUGGAAACCGCAUAACCUGUUUGCAUGUAUUUGUUUUAUCCUGAAUACAUUGUCAUCAUUUUAUAGAUGUCGGUAUUUGCCACAGUUCGUAAAUCCUAUGGUCAAUCUGUUAGAUGGAAAAGCAGCACAUGACGAUUGCUUGAAAAUAACUGAAUUAAUUGAAACUGUCAUUGAUAACGAAUUAAGAGCACUCUUAAAUGUUACCUUUGACGACAUUGGGAGUCUUUUGGCAGGGAAAUGCUCACCAAUGGUACAUAUUUGUAGUAACAGUGACCCUUGGUGGCCAACAACGUACGAAUAACAUCUUGGUAUUACCACUAUUGAUGGAAAGGCGUGGAAAAAUUGGCUUUUACUUCAUUUCGUGUUUGUUUCUGAGUUCACUAAAGAGUCUGGAAGCUAUAUAGCUAAAUACAUCAUAGAACUUCAUCAUAACGGUUUCCGUGUCUUCAGUAAAGAGCCAGAGACGCACUCGAGCCUGGAACUGGUAGAGAAGUACACAAAGGUCAAACGGAAGAUUCCACAGUCAGUAAAACUGCUAUUUAAACAGAUUAUUGGCACAAAGGGACUGGGAAUUAAUACAGAUGAGAUAGGGAAAAGGCCGGAGAGACAUUUGAUAACGCGAGAGAUGACACAGUUCUAUGUGAAACCUGUAUCUGAGAUCACCGAUUACGAAUGAGACCUAGAAAAGCUUUGGAUAAGCUUUACUAAUGAUUUCACGUAGUCUUCGUUGCGAGGUGAACAUUUUUCAAGAAAGUAGUUGUCCAUAAAGCAAUACUUGGAACUAAAUAUAAUUGUCUGAAACACCAUUGACAGGUUCAAAGGGGAAAUCUACGAAACGUCAAAGACCUACAUGUCUAUUGUAAUUAAGACACAGAACAUGCCAGAUUAAGAAUGGUUUUGGCAAGAUAAAUAAAGGUCUCCUUAUAUAUACUUAAUUUAUAACGAAAACAAAUAAGACAUAAUCAUCUGAACAUGACUAAACAUUGCAUAACUGACGCAGAUGUUUCUAUGAACUCUUUUUCACAGGAAAAAUGGCUUUUAACACUUCGAUUUUAAAGUGCAGUAUCAAGGCAGAUAUGAUACUAUACCAUAGGACAAAACGUCACAUUUAUGAAUAGGUGUUAUGGUAUAUCAAAGAGAAUGGAUAUGUAAAUCUGUAAUUAUUUUGUUCUUCAGUGCUAUGCAUUAAAGAGACAUACAUAUAUAAAGCUGAUAGCAAUAACUAUUCUGAAUCAUAAUUGUUGGGUUAUGCUAAUUUUGAAAAUUAUGUGUAACAAGCUUAUCAUAGGUUUAUCACACAAUUGCAACUUUUAGAUUAUAUGACUUAAAAGUUUGAUAAGUUUGAUAAGUUUAUUUCAAAUUUUCCUUUAGGCCAACUGGCCCAUGAGGUUUACAAGCAUGAAAAUGGCGAGACAAUUAUUUAAACGGAGAAGGUUGUUAACAUUCAAUUUUCUGAGAAAUAGCACAUUCUAAUAUUACAACAUUAGAAUUACAAAAAAUUAUACAUAAAUAACCAUAUAGACAGUAUAUACAUAUACAAGUUUAGACAAACGACAAAUUAUUUAUCAUUUUACUGGUGCAAUUUAUGUUUAAAGCAUGUACAGCUUAUUAUACACAAAACAACAAGAAGAAUGCAAGACAGUUUGAAUAAUUGAUACAAAUAUAUUGCAACGCAAAACAUUAUCCUAUGUUUAAUGUCCAUGCUAUGUUGAGCUUGACGAAACGAAAUACAAGGUCAACAGCUGGAUCUCAGAAAUGAAAGAUUACUUAAAAUAAAACACUUUUUAAAGGUGCAAAAUAAAGACAAGUGAAUAGACAUAAAUCUUAAAACAAGACAACACAUUUUGAAAUAUACUAUAAACAUUACGAUAACCGUGCAAUAUUCCGUUGAAAUCAACACAUGUACAGAGAAACAAAUGGUUGUUUCUGUAUUUUCUUAGACUGUCACGGGUGGUCAUUUUGUCCUACUUUCGUGUUUAUCACUUUUCCGUAAUCGGUCGGAAAUUCUUCGGGAUCACGUGAUUUUGAAAUUAAUUGAAACGAAUAUCCGUUUAAAGACGCGCGACAAAAUAACUGUAUUUCCAUGAUGGUAAUUAUACACGAUUUGUAUGAAAAAUAUGAGAUGUACAAAUUUUUAGUUUCAAAUUGACAGUGACAAAUAUUAG